Molecule: ribosomal RNA, 847 nt
Filed under: Chilanodon bicallosa
Lineage: Eukaryota; Metazoa; Mollusca; Gastropoda; Stylommatophora; Hygromiidae
Description: partial 16S ribosomal RNA
Source: RNAcentral
AAUUACUAAAAUUGUUUAGUAUUAAAAUACACGAAUUAGGUUGAGCUAAUUGAAUAUAUAUAUUAGCAUAUAUGUUGGCUGUAUCACUAUUCAACAACUAUAAUCAAUUAGGGGCGAUAUACCUUACAAAUACUAGGAUAUCUUGAAGUAUAAUAAAUAUAAUAGUAUAAAGGCAACUAUAAAGUGGUUAGGCUUUAUAGAGGCAUAAUUUAUAAUAACAAUAUAAUAAAUUAUAUAACUAUAAUUAUUUGAUUUAACUUAUUAUAUAGUAUAUUCAUAAUAUGUAUUUUAUUAUAUAAUACUAGGCCAUUAGAAUUAGCAUAUAUAAUGUAAUUAUUAGUAGAGAAUUAAAUUUUAUAAAGGAAUUCGGCAAAUAAUUUUUCAACUGUUUACCAAAAACAUUGCCUUAUGAUUUAAUAUAAGGUUAGCCCUGCUCAAUGGAGAACUAAAUAGCCGCAGUACUUUGACUGUGCAAAGGUAGCAUAAUAAAUUGGCUUAUAAUUGAAGUCUAGUAUGAAUGGGUGUAUGGGGAAAUGCUGUCUUUAGAGAAGUAAGUGAAAUUAAUUAGAAAGUGAAAAUGCUUUCAGCUUAAAUAUUAGACGAGAAGACCCUAGAAAUUUUGUAGAAAAUUAUAGCUUAGCUAUUUUGUUGGGGCGACAGGGUAGCAAUAAACCUAUCCAACAAUAUCAGAAAUUUGUACGUUGAAUAAAUAAAUUACUCUAGGGAUAACAGCAUAAUAUAUUAAAGUUUGUGACCUCGAUGUUGGACUAGGGAAGCUAUUAUUUAGAAGACAAUAGUUUUAGCUCUGUUCGAGCCUUUUCCCCUACAUGAUCUGAGUUCAGACCGG